AGAGGGGAGUGAAAUAGAACCUUGAAACCGUAUGCGUACAAGCAGUGGGAGCCUACUUGUUAGGUGACUGCGUACCUUUUGUAUAAUGGGUCAGCGACUUAUAUUCAGUGGCAAGCUUAACCGUAUAGGGUAGGCGUAGCGAAAGCGAGUCUUAAUAGGGCGUUUAGUCGCUGGGUAUAGACCCGAAACCGGGCGAUCUAUCCAUGAGCAGGUUGAAGGUUAGGUAACACUGACUGGAGGACCGAACCCACUCCCGUUGAAAAGGUAGGGGAUGACUUGUGGAUCGGAGUGAAAGGCUAAUCAAGCUCGGAGAUAGCUGGUUCUCCUCGAAAGCUAUUUAGGUAGCGCCUCAUGUAUCACUCUGGGGGGUAGAGCACUGUUUCGGCUAGGGGGUCAUCCCGACUUACCAAACCGAUGCAAACUCCGAAUACCCAGAAGUGCCGAGCAUGGGAGACACACGGCGGGUGCUAACGUCCGUCGUGAAAAGGGAAACAACCCAGACCGCCAGCUAAGGUCCCAAAGUUGUGGUUAAGUGGUAAACGAUGUGGGAAGGCUUAGACAGCUAGGAGGUUGGCUUAGAAGCAGCCAUCCUUUAAAGAAAGCGUAAUAGCUCACUAGUCGAGUCGGCCUGCGCGGAAGAUGUAACGGGGCUCAAACCACACACCGAAGCUGCGGGUGUCACGUAAGUGACGCGGUAGAGGAGCGUUCUGUAAGCCUGUGAAGGUGAGUUGAGAAGCUUGCUGGAGGUAUCAGAAGUGCGAAUGCUGACAUGAGUAACGACAAUGGGUGUGAAAAACACCCACGCCGAAAGACCAAGGGUUCCUGCGCAACGUUAAUCGACGCAGGGUUAGUCGGUUCCUAAGGCGAGGCUGAAAAGCGUAGUCGAUGGGAAACAGGUUAAUAUUCCUGUACUUCUGGUUACUGCGAUGGAGGGACGGAGAAGGCUAGGCCAGCUUGGCGUUGGUUGUCCAAGUUUAAGGUGGUAGGCUGAAAUCUUAGGUAAAUCCGGGGUUUCAAGGCCGAGAGCUGAUGACGAGUCGUCUUUUAGAUGACGAAGUGGUUGAUGCCAUGCUUCCAAGAAAAGCUUCUAAGCUUCAGGUAACCAGGAACCGUACCCCAAACCGACACAGGUGGUCGGGUAGAGAAUACCAAGGCGCUUGAGAGAACUCGGGUGAAGGAACUAGGCAAAAUGGCACCGUAACUUCGGGAGAAGGUGCGCCGGCUAGGGUGAAGGAUUUACUCCGUAAGCUCUGGCUGGUCGAAGAUACCAGGCCGCUGCGACUGUUUAUUAAAAACACAGCACUCUGCAAACACGAAAGUGGACGUAUAGGGUGUGACGCCUGCCCGGUGCCGGAAGGUUAAUUGAUGGGGUUAGCGCAAGCGAAGCUCUUGAUCGAAGCCCCGGUAAACGGCGGCCGUAACUAUAACGGUCCUAAGGUAGCGAAAUUCCUUGUCGGGUAAGUUCCGACCUGCACGAAUGGCGUAACGAUGGCGGCGCUGUCUCCACCCGAGACUCAGUGAAAUUGAAAUCGCUGUGAAGAUGCAGUGUAUCCGCGGCUAGACGGAAAGACCCCGUGAACCUUUACUGUAGCUUUGCACUGGACUUUGAGCCUGCUUGUGUAGGAUAGGUGGGAGGCUUUGAAGCGUGGACGCCAGUUCGCGUGGAGCCAUCCUUGAAAUACCACCCUGGCAUGCUUGAGGUUCUAACUCUGGUCCGUGAUCCGGAUCGAGGACAGUGUAUGGUGGGCAGUUUGACUGGGGCGGUCUCCUCCUAAAGAGUAACGGAGGAGUACGAAGGUGCGCUCAGACCGGUCGGAAAUCGGUCGCAGAGUAUAAAGGCAAAAGCGCGCUUGACUGCGAGACAGACACGUCGAGCAGGUACGAAAGUAGGUCUUAGUGAUCCGGUGGUUCUGUAUGGAAGGGCCAUCGCUCAACGGAUAAAAGGUACUCCGGGGAUAACAGGCUGAUACCGCCCAAGAGUUCAUAUCGACGGCGGUGUUUGGCACCUCGAUGUCGGCUCAUCACAUCCUGGGGCUGAAGCCGGUCCCAAGGGUAUGGCUGUUCGCCAUUUAAAGUGGUACGCGAGCUGGGUUUAGAACGUCGUGAGACAGUUCGGUCCCUAUCUGCCGUGGACGUUUGAGAUUUGAGAGGGGCUGCUCCUAGUACGAGAGGACCGGAGUGGACGAACCUCUGGUGUUCCGGUUGUCACGCCAGUGGCAUUGCCGGGUAGCUAUGUUCGGAAAAGAUAACCGCUGAAAGCAUCUAAGCGGGAAACUUGCCUCAAGAUGAGAUCUCACUGGGAACUUGAUUCCCCUGAAGGGCCGUCGAAGACUACGACGUUGAUAGGCUGGGUGUGUAAGCGUUGUGAGGCGUUGAGCUAACCAGUACUAAUUGCCCGUGAGGCUUGACCAUAUAACACCCAAACA
RNAcentral lists this ribosomal RNA (2426 nucleotides) under Pseudomonas aeruginosa DHS29. RNAcentral describes it as "bacterial LSU rRNA". It matches the Rfam family "Bacterial large subunit ribosomal RNA", at positions 530 to 2925 of the family's 2925-position model. Lineage: Bacteria; Pseudomonadati; Pseudomonadota; Gammaproteobacteria; Pseudomonadales; Pseudomonadaceae. The record is from RNAcentral.